RNAcentral lists this RNase P RNA (257 nucleotides) under Gemmatimonadales bacterium. RNAcentral's name for it is "partial RNase P RNA component class A". It matches the Rfam family "Bacterial RNase P class A", at positions 112 to 367 of the family's 367-position model. From Rfam's summary of the family: Ribonuclease P (RNase P) is a ubiquitous endoribonuclease, found in archaea, bacteria and eukarya as well as chloroplasts and mitochondria. Its best characterised activity is the generation of mature 5'-ends of tRNAs by cleaving the 5'-leader elements of precursor-tRNAs. Cellular RNase Ps are ribonucleoproteins. The record is from RNAcentral. Lineage: Bacteria; Pseudomonadati; Gemmatimonadota; Gemmatimonadia; Gemmatimonadales.
CAACAGAGAACAGACCGCCGAUGGCCGCUUAGGCGGCACAGGCAAGGGUGAAACGGUGCGGUAAGAGCGCACCGGGCUCCUGGUAACAGUGAGUCGCUGGUAAACCCCACCCGCAGCAAGGCCAAAUAGGGAACGAGGAGUGGCCCGCUCCAUUUGAGUUCCGGGUAGGCUGCACGAGGCUGUUGGUAACAGCAGUCCUAGAUGAAUGAUCCUCCCCCGUAAGGGGACAGAACUCGGCUUAUUCCGCGCGUUCAACU